AUGUAUCUAGGUUUCUAAGCAUUUACUUAGUUCAAGCUUAAGGUGGGUCAAGUCCCACUUUUAAAUCCCGAGAAUACCAAGCUUAGUAACACAUGUAUAGCUUCUACAUGGAAUUAGGCUAAGUCAUCCAUACCUCACCAUAAAGGAUUACUAAUCCUUUAUAGGUCUAUAGGGAAAGUCUCUUCAAGAAUCCUUUCUAAGUUAACCCAACACCAAGG
RNAcentral lists this long non-coding RNA (218 nucleotides) under Capsicum annuum. RNAcentral's name for it is "long non-coding RNA (CANN_LNC016342)". The record is from RNAcentral. Lineage: Eukaryota; Viridiplantae; Streptophyta; Magnoliopsida; Solanales; Solanaceae.